GACGAACGCUGGCGGCGUGCCUAAUACAUGCAAGUCGAACGCAGUGGGGACGGGUGAGUAACACGUGGGUAACCUCCCAUCAGAGGGGAUAACACUUGGAAACAGGUGCUAAACCGAUACUGGUGGAUGGACCCGCGGGGCAUUAGCUAGUUGGGGGGGUAACGGCUCACCAAGGCCACGAUGCAUAGCCGACCUGAGAGGGUGACCGGCAACACUGGAACUGAGACACGGCCCAGACUCCUACGGGAGGCAGCAGUAGGGAAUCUUCGGCAAUGGACGAAAGUCUGAUCGAGCCAAGCCGCGUGAGUGAAGAAGGUUUUCGGAUCGUAAAACUCUGUUGUUAGAGAGGCGGUAUCUAACCAGGAAGCACCGGCUAACUACGUGCCAGCAGCCGCGGUAAUUC
RNAcentral lists this ribosomal RNA (403 nucleotides) under uncultured bacterium. Its description in RNAcentral is "partial 16S ribosomal RNA". It matches the Rfam family "Bacterial small subunit ribosomal RNA", at positions 28 to 526 of the family's 1533-position model. The record is from RNAcentral.